This 484-nucleotide ribosomal RNA is filed under the name uncultured bacterium. RNAcentral describes it as "partial 16S ribosomal RNA". It matches the Rfam family "Bacterial small subunit ribosomal RNA", at positions 29 to 523 of the family's 1533-position model. The record is from RNAcentral.
AGUGAACGCUGGCGGCGUGCUUAACACAUGCAAGUCGAACGAGAACGGAUUAUAGCUUGCUAUAAUUGUCAGCUAAGUGGCGCACGGGUGAGUAAUGUAUAGGUAAUAUGCCUCUUACUAAGGGAUAACAAAUGGAAACGUUUGCUAAUACCUUAUACUCCUUAUUAACAGAAGUUAAUAAGGGAAAGAUUUAUUGGUAAGAGAUUAGCCUGUAUUGUAUCAGUUAGUUGGUGGGGUAAUGGCUUACCAAGACUAUUACACAUAACUGGUUUGAGAGGAUGAUCAGUCACACGGGAUCUGAGACACGGUCCCGGCUCCUACGUGAGGCAGCAGUGGGGAAUAUUGCACAAUGGACUAAAGUCUGAUGCAGCAACGCCGCGUGGAGGAUGACACAUUUCGGUGCGUAAACGCCUUUUAUAUGAGAAGAUAAUGACGGUAUUAUAUGAAUAAGCACCGGCUAACUCCGUGCCAGCCGCCGCGGUAA